GGGUGGGUCGUCCAGCCUGGUAGGAUCCCUGCCUGGGGCGCAGGAGGUCGUGGGUUCAAAUCCCACCCCACCCA
This 74-nucleotide transfer RNA is filed under the name archaeon. RNAcentral describes it as "tRNA-Pro". It matches the Rfam family "tRNA". From Rfam's summary of the family: Transfer RNA (tRNA) molecules are approximately 80 nucleotides in length. Their secondary structure includes four short double-helical elements and three loops (D, anti-codon, and T loops). The record is from RNAcentral. RNAcentral also lists the same sequence under 2 other names.